Molecule: small RNA, 178 nt
Filed under: Propithecus coquereli (Coquerel's sifaka)
Lineage: Eukaryota; Metazoa; Chordata; Mammalia; Primates; Indriidae
Description: TUC338 (ENSPCOG00000006687.1)
Source: RNAcentral
UUGACAACUCUGGAAGCAAGAAUUUUUUUUAUUCGGAUACCAAAUAUAGCAUGGGCAGUGGCAGACAAAGCUUCUCUCGUGCUGUUUCCUUCCAGAUGAUUGGUCUUGUCCUUUUGGGACUUGCCUCCAGUGGUGAGAGGUAGUUCAGGUUUCCUAGCCUGUUCCGCCUUUAGUCUCU